AGUGAACGCUGGCGGUAUGCCUAACACAUGCAAGUCGAACGGCAGCACAGUAAGAUCUUUCUCUUACGGGUGGCGAGUGACGGACGGGUGAGGAGUACAUCGCAAUCUACUUUUUCGUGGGGGAUAACGGAGGGAAACUGACGCUAAUACCGCAUACAACCUACGGGUGAAAUCAGUAGAGCUUCGGACCUUUCCCGAUUGAAUUAGAUGGUGUCGGAUUAGCUAGUUGGCGAGGUAAAGGCACACCAAGGCAACGAUCCGUAGCCGGCCUGAGAGGAUGAUCAGCCACACUGGAACUGAGACACGGUCCAGACUCCUACGGGAGGCAGCAGUGGGGAAUCUUCCGCAAUGGGCGAAAGCCUGACCCAGCCACACCGCGUGAGUGAAGAAGGUCUUCGGGUUGUAAAGCCCUUUUAUUAGGAAAGAACAACAGUGUAAGUAUCUACCCACGUUCUGACGGUACCCAAACAGUAAGCCCCGGCUAACUUCGUG
RNAcentral lists this ribosomal RNA (492 nucleotides) under uncultured bacterium. RNAcentral describes it as "partial 16S ribosomal RNA". It matches the Rfam family "Bacterial small subunit ribosomal RNA", at positions 29 to 507 of the family's 1533-position model. The record is from RNAcentral.